AUCGCUUCUCGGCCUUUUGGCUAAGAUCAAAGUGUAGUAUCUGUUCUUAUCAGCUAAUAUCUGAUACGUCCUCCAUUGGGGGACAUCGAUAUUAAACUGAUUUUUGAAAGGGGGUGAGGUGCCCGGGGCUUGCUCCGCCUCACCACGGGUUGACCGGUAUUGCAGUACUUCCGGGAAUGGCCCACCACUA
This 190-nucleotide small nuclear RNA is filed under the name Gigantopelta aegis. Its description in RNAcentral is "U2 spliceosomal RNA". It matches the Rfam family "U2 spliceosomal RNA". From Rfam's summary of the family: U2 is a small nuclear RNA (snRNA) component of the spliceosome (involved in pre-mRNA splicing). Complementary binding between U2 snRNA (in an area lying towards the 5' end but 3' to hairpin I) and the branchpoint sequence (BPS) of the intron results the bulging out of an unpaired adenosine, on the BPS, which initiates a nucleophilic attack at the intronic 5' splice site, thus starting the first of two transesterification reactions that mediate splicing. The record is from RNAcentral. Lineage: Eukaryota; Metazoa; Mollusca; Gastropoda; Neomphalida; Peltospiridae.